UGCUGGAAUUCGCCCUUAGAGUUUGAUCAUGGCUCAGGACAAACGCUGGCGGUGUGCUUAAUACAUGCAAGUCGAACGAUAAGGUCUCUUCGGAGAUACAUAAGUGGCGGACGGGUGAGUAACACGUAGGAAAUCUGCCUCAAGGAGGGGGAUAACACCGGGAAACUGGUGCUAAUACCCCAUAUGUCAUAGCUUGAAAUAGUUAUGAUGAAAGUUCCGGCGCCUUGAGAUGAGCCUGCGUCUGAUUAGCUAGUUGGUGGGGUAAUUGCCUACCAAGGCGACGAUCAGUAGCUGGUCUGAGAGGAUGAUCAGCCACAAUGGGACUGAGACACGGCCCAUACUCCUACGGGAGGCAGCAGUAGGGAAUUUUGCGCAAUGGGCGAAAGCCUGACGCAGCAACACCGCGUGAGGGAUGAAGUUCUUUGGAGCGUAAACCUCUGUCAGUUGUGACUAAU
This 455-nucleotide ribosomal RNA is filed under the name uncultured bacterium. RNAcentral describes it as "partial 16S ribosomal RNA". It matches the Rfam family "Bacterial small subunit ribosomal RNA", at positions 1 to 450 of the family's 1533-position model. The record is from RNAcentral.